GGGCAGCGGGUUGAAAGCUUGCUUUUAAUGCCGGCGACCGGCGCACGGGUGCGUAACGCGUAUCAAACCUGCCUCAUACUCGGGGAUAGCCUUGCGAAAGUAAGAUUAAUACCCGAUGUUGUUGCUUUCUCGCAUGGGAGAGUAACCAAAGAUUUAUCGGUAUGAGAUGGUGAUGCGUCCGAUUAGGUAGUAGGCGGGGUAACGGCCCACCUAGCCUUCGAUCGGUAGGGGUUCUGAGAGGAAGGUCCCCCACACUGGAACUGAGACACGGUCCAGACUCCUACGGGAGGCAGCAGUGAGGAAUAUUGGUCAAUGGGCGAGAGCCUGAACCAGCCAAGUAGCGUGCAGGAUGACGGCCCUCCGGGUUGUAAACUGCUUUUAGUUGGGAAUAAAAAAAGGGACUUGUCCCUUCUUGUAUGUACCUUCAGAAAAAGGACCGGCUAAUUCCGUGCCAGCAGCCGCGGUAAUACGGAAGGUUCGGGCGUUAUCCGGAUUUAUUGGGUUUAAAGGGAGCGUAGGCCGGAGAUUAAGUGUGUUGUGAAAUGUAGACGCUCAACGUCUGACUUGCAGCGCAUACUGGUUUCCUUGAGUACGCACAACGUGGGCGGAAUUCGUCGUGUAGCGGUGAAAUGCUUAGAUAUGACGAAGAACUCCGAUUGCGAAGGCAGCUGACGGGAGCGCAACUGACGCUGAAGCUCGAAGGUGCGG
RNAcentral lists this ribosomal RNA (708 nucleotides) under uncultured Bacteroidota bacterium. RNAcentral's name for it is "bacterial SSU rRNA". It matches the Rfam family "Bacterial small subunit ribosomal RNA", at positions 67 to 764 of the family's 1533-position model. The record is from RNAcentral. Lineage: Bacteria; Pseudomonadati; Bacteroidota.